Molecule: ribosomal RNA, 442 nt
Filed under: uncultured bacterium
Lineage: Bacteria
Description: bacterial SSU rRNA
Rfam family: Bacterial small subunit ribosomal RNA
Source: RNAcentral
GAUGAACGCUGGCGGUAUGCCUAACACAUGCAAGUCGUACGAGAGUUUUUAACUCUAGUGGCGGACGGGUGAGUAACACGUGAGAAUUUGCCUUUAGGAGGGGGAUAACAAUUGGAAACGAAUGCUAAUACCCCAUAUGCUUUUGAGUGAAAUGGAUUUUAUCCGCCUAGAGAGAAGCUCGCGGCUGAUUAGCUUGUUGGUAAGGUAAGAGCUUACCAAGGCGACGAUCAGUAUCUGGUUUGAGAGGACGAUCAGACACACUGGAACUGAGACACGGUCCAGACUCCUACGGGAGGCAGCAGUGGGGAAUUUUCCGCAAUGGGCGAAAGCCUGACGGAGCAAUACCGCGUGAGGGAAGAAUGCCUAUGGGUUGUAAACCUCUUUUUCUAGGGUAGGAAUAAAAUGACGUGUACCUGAAGAAUAAGCAUCGGCUAACUCCGUG